AUUGAACGCUGGCGGCAUGCUUUACACAUGCAAGUCGAACGGUAACAGGCCUUCGGGUGCUGCCGAGUGGCGCACGGGUGAGUAAUGCAUCGGAACGUACCCAGAGGUGGGGGAUAACGCAGCGAAAGCUGUGCUAAUACCGCAUGUGAUCUGAGGAUGAAAGCGGGGGACCGAGCAGCAAUGUUUGGCCUCGCGCCUUUGGAGCGGCCGAUGUCGGAUUAGCUAGUUGGUGGGAUAAAGGCCUACCAAGGCGACGAUCCGUAGCUGGUCUGAGAGGACGACCAGCCACACUGGGACUGAGACACGGCCCAGACUCCUACGGGAGGCAGCAGUGGGGAAUUUUGGACAAUGGGCGCAAGCCUGAUCCAGCAAUGCCGCGUGCAGGAAGAAGGCCUUCGGGUUGUAAACCGCUUUUGGCAGGAACGAAACGGUGUCCGCUAAUACCGGGCGCUAAUGACGGUACCUGCAGAAUAAGCACCGGCUAACUACGUG
Molecule: ribosomal RNA, 492 nt
Filed under: uncultured bacterium
Lineage: Bacteria
Description: partial 16S ribosomal RNA
Rfam family: Bacterial small subunit ribosomal RNA
Source: RNAcentral